This 389-nucleotide long non-coding RNA is filed under the name Salmo salar (Atlantic salmon). RNAcentral's name for it is "lncRNA (ENSSSAG00000108859.1)". The record is from RNAcentral. Lineage: Eukaryota; Metazoa; Chordata; Actinopteri; Salmoniformes; Salmonidae.
AUACAGUAGACAGGCUAUAUACAGUAGAGAGGCUAUAUACAGUAGAGAGGCUAUAUACAGUAGAGAGGUUAUAUACAGUAGAGAGACUAUAUACAGUAGAGAGGCUAUAUACAGUAGAGAGGCUAUAUACAGUAGAGAGGCUAUAUACAGUAGAGAGCUUAUAUACAGUAGAGAGGCUAUAUACAGUAGAGAGGUUAUAUACAGUAGAGAGGCUAUAUACAGUAGAGAGGUUAUAUACAGUAGAGAGGCUAUAUACAGUAGAGAGGCUAUAUACAGUAGAGAGGCUAUAUACAGUAGAGGCUAUAUACAGUAGAGAGGCUAUAUACAGUAGAGAGGUUACAUACAGUAGAGAGGCUAUAUACAGUAGAGAGGCUGUAUACAGUAGAGAG